UUCGAUCUCAAAUCAGGUAGGACUACCCGCUGAACUUAA
This 39-nucleotide ribosomal RNA is filed under the name uncultured Tomentella. RNAcentral's name for it is "partial 28S ribosomal RNA". RNAcentral also lists the same sequence under 2 other names. Lineage: Eukaryota; Fungi; Basidiomycota; Agaricomycetes; Thelephorales; Thelephoraceae. The record is from RNAcentral.